RNAcentral lists this long non-coding RNA (2106 nucleotides) under Homo sapiens (human). RNAcentral describes it as "HSALNT0294499". Lineage: Eukaryota; Metazoa; Chordata; Mammalia; Primates; Hominidae. The record is from RNAcentral.
UGAGCUAUGAUUGCACCACUGCACUCCAGUCUGGGCGACAGAACCAGACCAUGUCUAAAAAGAAAAAACACUCAGUGAUAAUUUCACAUUACAGUUUGAGAGGUUCCUGUUGACUUGGGGAAACUAGUUUUAGCAGACUUCAUUAAAGGAGUGUACACCUUACUACAGGAUGUAAUUUAAAAUAGAAUGUUUAAAUAAUAAAUUCACUUCUGGGUAUAUACUCAAAGCAGGAAUUCAAACAGGUAUUUGUACACCAAAGUUCGUAACAGCAUUAUUCACAGUAGCCAAAAUGUGGAAACAACCCAAAUGUCCAUUAAAGGAUGAAUAAACAAAAUGUGAUAUACAUACAAUGGAAUAUUCAGCCUUUAUUUUUCCAAUCAGAGUUUCAGGAAAAUCAACCUUUAAAAGGAGUGAAAUUCUGACAUUUGCUGCCACAUGGAUGAAUCUUGAUGAUGAUAUGCUGAGUGAUAUAUAAUCAGUCACGGAAGGACAAAUACUGCAUGAUUCAAUUUAUAUCAGUGCUUUGCUAAUGACUGACCGGUGUGGAUGUAUAAAAGUCCAGCUCCGUGAUCUCAGACUUCCGGCCUCCAGAACUCAGGCCCUGACAUUGUAUAAGCUUCAGGCCCCACAAAACCUGGAUCUGCCCUGCCAGGAUCAGCAUCUAGAGGAAAACUACUACUUCCACAAUAGCACAACCAAUCUGAUCAUCCCUGCAUCAGUGAGCAUUCUCCAGAGAAACAGAGCCAACAGGAUAUGUGUAUAUAUGUGAAGAAAGACUUAUUUUAAGGAGUUGGCUCAUGCAAUUAUGGAGGUGCAAGUCCAAAAUCUGUAGGGCAGGCAGAUGGGCAGACUGGAGACCCAGAGAAGAGUUGCAGUUCAAGUCCAAAGUCGGUUGGAAGAAUUCCCUCUUGCUGGGUAACACUGGGGAAGCAGGAGUAGAUGGAAAGGGGAGGUGUCAGGCUUUGCUCUACCAAGGACUUCAACUGAUUGGAUGAGGCCCAGUAACAUUAUGGAGGGAAACCUGCUUUGCUCAGAGUUUACUGAUUUAAAUAUUAAUCUCAUCCACAAAAAAAUAAAUAACCUUCACAGAAACAUUUAGAAUAUUUGACCAAAUAUCUAAGUCCCAUGGCUCAGACAACUUAACACAUAAAAUUAUCCAUCACAAUUCCAUUAUCCCAAUACAGGUCGGCAGGGCCUUGGGCAGGUGGUAACCUCAGCUCUGGAGUCUACAGCAAUACUCUCACACUUAACAGAUGUAGUUCUGUGGGUCCAGGUCCCACUUCGCAAGAGAGAAUCUGAUGGGCUAAUUUCGACCAAGUCUCCUUUCCUAGUUCAAUCACGUGUAAGGGUUAGAGAAAGGGUUGGGCUCACAAGGGACUUAGGGCUGCCUCUCUGGACUUGGGAGAGCAGGACUUCUCAAGAGAUAAAUGGUUAGAGAGUAAUAUAAUUUGGAUAUUUGUCCCCUAUAAAUCUCAUGUUGAAAUUUGAUGUUCAAUGUUGAGGGCAGGUCUGGGACCUCCCUCCCUGCUUUUGCUCCCCCUCUCGCCAUAUGGCACAACUGCUCCCUUCACCUUCUGCUAUGAAUGGAAGCUUCCUGAGGCCUUCACCAAAAGCGGAGGCUGGUACCAUGCUUCACGCACAGCCUGCAGAAUCAUGAGCCAAAUAAACUACUUUUCUUUAUAAAUCAUCCAGUUUCAGGUAUUCGCUUAUAGCAACACAAAAUGGACUAAUACAGAGAGGAAAUAUUUUGAGCACAUUGAAGGCCCCAAAAUAUUGAGCUUUUUUUUUUUAACCUAUAUAGUACUUUUCUUGCAUCUCAGUUUGCUUAUCUAUAGAAUGAGGAUUAAUAAGACCUACCAACUUCAGGGGGUCAUUCUGGUGAGAUAAGUGAAAAAAUUUGUAAAGAAGUGUAUAAAUUUACCAUUGUUUUUUAAAACUAAAAUGAUCUCUAACACUAAGUUGAUGAUCUGAUCACAAAGAUGGGGUAGAUGAAAUGAAGAGAAAAGGUUUCUGACAUUUGUAUACUUAGAAAUGUAUCCAGGCUGGGCAUGGUGGUCCAUACCUGUAAUCCCAGCACUUUGAGAGGCCAACGCAGGAGGGUCACUU